UACUCCUCGUGCCCGCAGUCAGUUAUUCUGAGUGUCUCUAAAUCUCUCGCUCUCGCCGUGCUCCUCGCCACUCCCUCUUCUCUCGGUUUGGCCCUCCCCCCUUCCCCCACUCUUUCUUUUUUUUUCAACCUACUUUACACACUUCUCUGUCGUCAUGCGCGGUCGUGGCGGUCGUGGCGGUCGCGGGGGCAGCUUCGGCGGCUUCUCGCAGCAACCUACCAACACCAUCAGCAUUCGCGUGUCGGAGAUUCAGCAGCCCGUCACGGAGGAUGUCAUGCGCCGCGUUUUCCAGAGCGUCGGCGUGUCGUGCAACUCGAUCCAAAUCACUCCGACAAACAACCCGCAGGAGACGUCUGUGGUGGCGCAGUUCCCCGACAACUUCGCCGCCGAGCGCGUCAUGUCGAGUCUGAACAAUCGCAACAUCUUCAACAACGGCAACAAGAUGACCAUGCAGUACACGAACUGGAUCCCGAGCGGCAGCCCGACCCCAAUGAACAGCAACGGCGGUGGCGUGCUGCAGACCUCGGCCUUUGACAACGGCAACAUCUUUGCGGCCCAGCAGUUGCCACCGCAGCCACAGAUGCCGCCGCAGCCCCAGAUGCAGCCACAAAUGCCGCCGCAGCCGCAGAUGCCCCAGCAGCCCCAGAUUCAGUUGCCGACCCCACAGAUUCAGCAGCCGUCGCAGAUGCCCCAGCAGAUGCCGCCGCAGCCGAUGCCUCAGAUGCAGCACAUGCCGCAGCCUCAGCCGCAGCCGCAAAUGUCGGUCUUCAACAACCCUGGCCCCGGCAUGAUGCCGCCGCAACAGAUGGACCCCUGGUACGGCGCCAACCCCGCCAUGGAGAUGAUGAGCGUCACCGUUGGCUUUCCGGGUGCCGUUCGCGGCAACGCUAUGAUGCGCGGCGGUCGCGCUCGCGGGCGCGGUGGCCGCGGCGGCUACGGCCUCGACACCAUGGGUGUGCAGACUGGCUACAUGCCAUUUCCCCAGGUCGGCGGCAUGGCCCGCGGUGGCGCCAACAUGAUGCCGCGCAUGAACUACGUGCAGUACCAGCCGUUCGGCCAGCCGCCGACCGUCUUUGUGAGCGUGACCCUCGUCCCGAUCACCGAGCCGCUGCAGACCAUCUUUACGCUGAUGGAGGCGUUCGGUGGCGUUGUGGCGAUCCGCCGCAACCAGAACAAGAAGGAGAUUCUGACAGUCAAGGCUGCGUCGCCGGACGACGCGCUGGCCAUCGUGACCUUCAUGCACCGUGUGCCGUACGUGGGAGGUCAGGUGAGCGGCAAGCUCUUUCCCAACUACGUGGAGCGCUACCCGUGCACUGACGAAGGCGACCCGCUCGACCCCGAGACGCUGCAGUACGACUUCACCGCUUCCCGUCACCGCAGCCCGGGCCAGCGCAGCAAGGCUGUGCCGUCACGCAUCAUCAAGAUCACGGGCUGCAGCGCGUACGAGGAUACUGAAGUGAUGACGUACCUCAACAGCAAGGGCAUCAACCCCGAGCGCGUCACCAAGUCCGAGGACGGCUCCUUCGAAGUUCAUCUGAGGGACGUGGCGACCUCCGUGAAGGUGCUCCUGGAGUGCCAGGGAAGCGUGUGCGACGAGGAGAAGUCGAACGUCAUCUUUGUCGAGGGCCCUCGCGACGAUCCGGUCAGCACAGAGCAGAAGGCGAUGGAGGAGCAGGCGAACGAGCAGUAGGUCCACGCCGACCCAUUCUUUCGCCGAUCACCACCGUAUAUAUAUAUAUAUAUAUGGUUGGUGCCUCAUCCUAUGAUGUGCUCUCUUUGGUGCCGGCGUUGAUGGCACGUGCGAGGAGUGUCGUUUUGUGCUGCCGUCCCUUCCCUCCCGCCGUUUUCGUUGCGAAUACGGACGCGUACGCGCGCGUGUGUGUCUGUGUGAGAGUCUGUUGCCGUCUUCGCUGGUUUCGGUGUCGGCGUUCUUGGCGUGGUGGUGUUUGUACUGUGAACACGUAGUGAAUCGGAUAGACGAACGACGAAUUAUUUAGGAAUUUUUAUCAUUGUGUGUUUCUGCAUUCUGUAUUUUUCUGUGUAAACAUGCCGAUACUGUAAGGAGAAAGGGGGAUUAGGGUUGGAGAAUGGGAGGAGGAGCAAUGCCCGCAGGUAGCCGUGCAUGCGUGCGUACAAGCACGCACAGACGGACAUAUCGGUUCAUCUCUCCAUCUUGCUCUCAAACUCGUUGUCAUCUCUAUUGCCAUCCUCUUGAAUGCUGGCGUUUUCCGGAGUUUAAUGUUUUUUUUUUUGUUUUGUUUGUCCCUCUUGGGUAAGGUACGUUAAAAAGCCGAAAAGGAAAGAGAAACGAAAAGACCUCCAUGAAGUGAAACAUAACCCCCUGCCCGUGUCCUUGUGUUGUCUUUCCGUGUGCGCGCGCGCAGCCAUUCGCGCGCACGCAGUUCUGGAUUGCGUCGACGCGGAAACGCUACUUUAGUGUCUCACCGCUUGUCGUCUUUCCUUUUCUCUAUGAAGACAUCACCCGACUCUUGUCUCUCUGUGUAUGCGCGUAUGUGUGUGUAUGUGUGUGUGCGUGAGUGAUCGGCGGCAUUUGGUGUGCGCUACGAGUUUAGAGAGAGCAAGAGUGACCCUGAACGGGUGCUCGGCGUGCGUGUGCCAUUCCUCGUUAGACUCUCUCUUUCCGGCUCUGAGCAUCGCCGCGAAUUUCGCACCUCUGCGCUCAUGCGUGUGUGCAUGUGUGUGACGCCGAGUGCAUUGCACAGUCUGCAGAGAUGCGCUCGCUCAAGCUCCAGCACAAACGCAUGCUCACGUACAUACAUACACACACACACACACAGCCGCCGCCGGCUCCUCCGAAUCCCUCUUCUGCACGCUUUCCAGUUUUGAUUGGCGCUCGCGAGCUUGCAGUCGUACCUGUUUUUU
Molecule: unclassified non-coding RNA, 2883 nt
Filed under: Leishmania donovani
Lineage: Eukaryota; Euglenozoa; Kinetoplastea; Trypanosomatida; Trypanosomatidae
Description: gene:LdHU3.32.1130(CDS-product:hypothetical_prote in_conserved)
Source: RNAcentral